This is a non-coding RNA of Pelobates cultripes (western spadefoot toad), 633 nucleotides long. Lineage: Eukaryota; Metazoa; Chordata; Amphibia; Anura; Pelobatidae. The record is from the annotation of a GenBank genome assembly.
GUUACACAAAAGUCUAUUACAAUUGCUAGAUGUUACAAUGGAUUCAUUUUACUUACAAGGCCCCAGCCCUUUGGCUGGGGUUAAGUCAGAGCUGGUACUACAUCUUAGGUUCAGUCAGGUACAGGCAAAAGGACAGAGUUUUCUCCUCCAUCUGGUUUUAUUCAGUGUAAGUAGGCUGGCCUGUGAUGUCACUGCCAGAAGCACAUGUCUUCCUACACACUCCCCCUAGUGGUGCCCCCAAAGCAUUACACUAAAUAUGCUUUCUUUAUGAUGUAAAGUCAUUAAUUAAUAAAUACCAUUACAAACCACCCUUUGACUUAUGUCAUAAAACAAGCAUUUAUAAAACCAGUACAUUUUGAAUCUUCCCCAUUUUAACACUACCUGCCCUACAACAAAACCCACCUUUUGAAGAACGAUACCCAUUUACCCAUUAAUUAUUAUCCAUUAACAUUUUAUUGCUUAUAUAAAUGUUCACCAUUGAGCACAUGCAUUACCAGUUGGGAAAUAGGCACAUACCCACCCUUAUAAUAAUGAACAACUCAAACCAUGUUUUAUUAGAUUAACCAAUGAUAUUGUGUUCAUGUGAGGAUGUGUUUUGGAGCUUAAUAUAGUAUUAGACACCACAAACUCAUA